This is a long non-coding RNA of Cercocebus atys (sooty mangabey), 1799 nucleotides long. RefSeq lists it as uncharacterized. NCBI's taxonomy places the organism in Eukaryota, Metazoa, Chordata, Mammalia, Primates, Cercopithecidae. The transcript is spliced from 4 exons. The record is from RefSeq and is a predicted model, not a curated record.
UUUGCCAGGCUGGUCUUGAACUCCUGACCUCAGGUGAUUUGCCUGCCUCGGCCUUCCAAAGUGCUGGAAUGACAGACGUGAACCAUCGCGCUUGGCUGAAAAGUGAAAAUUUAAGCCUAGCUUACCACCUGGAAUAAAAAUGUUUUAUAGGAAUGUCUAGGUUGCUCUUUUAUAUUGAAAAAAACAUAUCAGUGUGUGUUUGACCCAAGAACCACAAGUUACUUCUUUUAAAUCAUGUUAAAUCAGUUUCAACUUUUAAAUCAUGAAUAAUAGCCUGUGUUAUCACCACAUUUAAAAAUGUGUAUCGUCAAUCACAAACACAUAUUCUAAGGAAUUGAAUUUUAUAGAGAUAAUUGAAUGCUUUCAUCUAUGAAAGAAUUAGUGGCCUGUAAACCACUGUGGAUUCUUGCUAUGCUUUGAAGUUGUUAAUGGGGGCAUUUGCUGCUGCAAGUUACUUAACACUUGUAGGCAAAGGGAAAUUCAAAUUUUUAAUUCUAAAAUGAAAACCACUGACAAAAUUUUAUACUCCGAAGGUAUAGUUAUUAGCUUAGUCAUUAUUUUCCUGUACUUUAUCGUUUCAGGAUUCAGAUGCUUAAAUUUAACAUAAUUAUUUGUUGGUAAAAUAUAUAAAACAUAAAAAGCUACUUUAGUAAACUAAAUUUUAGGAUUCGAAGUCUCUAACAAUUUCUGUGUGACAUGUCAUAUGGUGCAAUUUUUAUUUGCCAAAAUGUCUACUUCAUACUACCUAUGCACUGCUUCCUGUUUUUAUCUCUCUACACCUAACCCCCAUAAUUAAAGAAACCCCUAGAAAACUGCCUUCUUUUAGAAUACCUAAUUGAUUCCUUUAAAUAUUUUUUUCAGAAUCAAAAUUGCAAAAGGGAGAGAUAUCUGAGAAUCUGGCUUGUUUGUAUUCUUUAAAAGAUUGCAUUUGAUUGAAGAGUACUCAAACCAGAGGGACACUUGUCUUUAUAUCAAAAAGGACUUGCCAGGAAAGACAAAAAGUCUUUUAUCAUGCCAGGAGGGAUGUAAAUCCUCUAUGAAAGUGGUCUUAGAACCAAGACAACUCCAAAGUCAAGUCAAAACGCCUCUGCCAAAAGUGGGAGCCUCCGCCUGAGAGAUGACUCACCAGGGCAGAACAGAUAAGCUAUACCUGCACUGGAAGAAAAGCAAAGGACAUUCUUUAAGCUGAAAGGAAAUUAUGUAAGAGAGAAACUUGGACCUCUAGGAAAGAAUAAGGAGCAUCAGUAAUGGUAAAUAUCUGGGACAGAAGUAGAGUGGAAAUGUGAGAAGGUCAUGGACUAUGAAGUCUAACAGGAUUGGUUUUCAUCCUCAUUCUACCACUAAUAGCUUUGGCAAGUCACCUCUCUAAGCCUUAGUUCUGCCAUCUGUGAAAUGAUCCUGGAAUAAAGUAAAUAUUUCAACAAGUACAGUUUUCUUACCUAAUUCUUCCUCUCUGUGUUUUGGUGUUUUCCCAUUAUCUUACACUGCAUAACAAAGUAUCCCAAAACCUAGUCGAUUAAAAUAAGCAAAACAUUCAUUUUUCUCAGUGCAGAGGCAGUUUCUGAUAUGGCUCCUAGGAUUCUUACCCUUGGAUAAUCCCUUCCUCUGGAGCAUGAGAUAGAUGUCGUGACUUGAUUCCAAUGAAUAGAAUAUGGCAACAGAGAUGGGAUGUUGCUUCCGUGAUUAGCUUAUAAAAGACUGAAACUUUAGUGUUGCUAUCAUUUUCACUCUACUGCCUUCUUGGCUUGUGUGAAGUAAGCCAUCAUGUUGGGGAGACCCACAUGGCAAGGAGCUGAAAG